This 253-nucleotide ribosomal RNA is filed under the name uncultured bacterium. Its description in RNAcentral is "partial 16S ribosomal RNA". It matches the Rfam family "Bacterial small subunit ribosomal RNA", at positions 524 to 776 of the family's 1533-position model. The record is from RNAcentral.
UACGUAGGGUGCAAGCGUUAAUCGGAAUUACUGGGCGUAAAGCGUGCGCAGGCGGUUUUGUAAGUCUGACGUGAAAUCCCCGGGCUCAACCUGGGAAUUGCGUUGGAGACUGCAAGGCUAGAAUCUGGCAGAGGGGGGUAGAAUUCCACGUGUAGCAGUGAAAUGCGUAGAGAUGUGGAGGAACACAGAUGGCGAAGGCAGCCCCCUGGGUCAAGAUUGACGCUCAUGCACGAAAGCGUGGGGAGCAAACAGG